This 1688-nucleotide long non-coding RNA is filed under the name Olea europaea subsp. europaea. The record is from RNAcentral. Lineage: Eukaryota; Viridiplantae; Streptophyta; Magnoliopsida; Lamiales; Oleaceae.
CAGGAUUUGUAGAUCAUUUUGAGCUUAGUGAAGCUGGGCUUGAGCUUGUUGGGGACAUCUACCUAUGUCAUUCUUCUUCAAAGAAGUUUGAGAGAUUAAUUGUUUCUCGCCGUUUCUUUGAAGAAUUCAACCUGAUGGCUUGCAGAGAUACUUUUGCCUUUCUAGGAUGUGAUUGUUUUGACGUUGGUCAUCGCUUUACACUUUUUGCAGAAAAACUUUGAGAAGAGGAGAUGCCCCACUUUGACAUGGCCAUCAUCCUCGCAGCCACCCCAUAGCCUAGAGAAAGGGGUUAAAGCCCUCAUCUGUUGUUACCAAGCAGGUAAGGGACCAGGUGAAGUUAGCAGGGAGGCUGCUACCAAAGAAGCCACCACCAUAGCCGAGAGAAAGGGGUUAAAGCUCUCAUCUAUUGUUACAAGCAGGUAAGGGACCAAGUGAAGAGGGUCAUCAGGGAGGCUGUUACCCAAGAGGGUGAUAGGAGACCUCCCUUCAAGGAUAAGGAGAAGAAUAAGGUGGAAGAAGUCCCCUAAAAUAAGCAAAAAUUUUCUACUAGAGAGGGUGAGUUUAUGGCCAGCUCACUACCUCGCUUCGAAGUCCUUGCUGGGGAGAAACUGAUGGCAGCGUUUAGUGCCGAGGCUAAGGAAGCUCAAAAGAAGCUAAUUGCUGUGUAGUUCCCAAGGCAAGAAUCUUCGAAGUGAGCGAGGACCUCAAGUGGGUUCUCACCCGAAACUUGCUAUCUCGUAAUGAAACAAUGAACUGGCCCUGGAGGCUUUGUCCAUGUUGCUGACGAAAAGUUUGAACUGCAACUCUACUUUUCACCAGUCCUUCAUGGAGACCAUUAAUUGAACGGACAUUUUCACCACAUUGGUGAGCCAAUCUGCGAGGGCCUAUGGGGUCGCUAUAGAGGCGAAGGCCCUUUUUAAAAAACCUUUAGAAUAAAAAUAAAGAAUUUACAAAUAAGACCUCCCAGACAGAGAAGGCAGCUAAGAAUGCGAAAGUGGAGGUAGAGGCUGUUAAGAAGUAGCAUGCUGAAGACUCCAUAAAGCUCGCCUUUGCCUUGGCAGAAAUUAAAAACUUGUAGAAGCAAGUCCACUAGUGUUAGAGUGAAGUGGCUUCCAUGACAAGGCGAGUGGAGACUUCUGAUGCUCACCAAAGGCUAGUGGCUGAGGCCUUAGAGGCAACAAUUAAAGAGAAUGUUGUUCUAAAAGAUUGGGUGCGGGAGUUAGACUCCAGAGUGUCGGGCCUAACUGAGGAGCUGGAGAUGGUGAGGAAGGAGGCAGAGUCUGUUAGCAGUGAGGGUGAAAAGCGUUAUAUAUCUAACUUUCACCUAACUGAGGCAUACCAGAGUUUUGCAAAAUAUUGGUGAAGGUACACCUAUGCGAAGGUGGUGGAGUGGAUUGAAGCCAACUUCCAGACCUUCAAUACUUCAAAACUGAGGUUUAAGUUCUUGGAUGAGGGAGAAGAACCUCAAACUUCUAAGGAGGAUAGCCAUGUGAUAGAGAUCAAAGACAAAGCCACCGAAGAAGAGGCUAAAGUCGAAGAAGUCAUGGCUUCCGAUGCCAUAAUACCCUCUGUACCUCCUCCUCCCCCACCUGUUUAGAUAGGACAACUUGUAAUUAUUUUAUUUUACUUUGUAAUUUGGCCUAGAAGCCCACUUUUGUAAUAUUAAUUGAUCAUUAAUGGAAGUCCUU